Molecule: long non-coding RNA, 2398 nt
Filed under: Mus musculus (house mouse)
Lineage: Eukaryota; Metazoa; Chordata; Mammalia; Rodentia; Muridae
Description: RIKEN cDNA 2010110K18 gene
Source: RNAcentral
AUCUUCAAGAACUGCUUUUGGAUCAAGUAUUCGCUUCUCCUUGCUUCUUUCUCGCGUUAUUCCUCUUGAGUUUUGUUACCUUUCGGCUGGAAAUGGACCACUUGCCGCUGGUGUGGCAGUGGUUGGAGCAUGACCAUGUUGAUGAUGAGCUGUCACUGGCCCAUUCCAAGAGGUUUUCUGGAUAGAAAUUCCUUUUCAGGGAGAUUAGAGGGACGGAACCUUUUGACGUAUUCUUUAUGACAGGAGGGUUUCAUGCCUAUAAUCCCAGCACUUGGAAGACGGAGAUAAAAGGGUCGCCGUGAGUUUGAGGACAGCCUGCACUACAGAAAACUACUUCCCCAGAACGGAGGUGUGUGAAAUGUCUUUGUCCCCCUAGGAAGUGUGGGAGUCACCACUGAGCCUUGUCAGGCCAGGUGGGAAGCUGAGACCGAUGAAGUGGUCCUGCAGCGGUGGCAGAAGCAGAUAGAUUAUGGCAAGUGCAUACCUGGGUACCAGAGCUUUCUGCAGCAGGUCCCCAGGUGAGUGCAGUUGUAGGCAGCCACAAGGAUGCCAACCAAAUGGCUGUAGCUCAUUGUCAGGUGCUGGAAGAUAACUGGAAAGUGGAUGCAGAUGGACUGGUUCUCCUGCCGUCUAGUCCCCAAUACGUUUGAGAUUUCUCUCAAGUAGAAGCGUACUUUCCCAGAAGGCUUUCAAGGCUUGCCAUGUUCCGCCCCCUCCCCCCCCCCCGCCCGCCCCUUCUUUUUAAUCAUUUAAUGUGUGUGUUGGGUGAGGGCAGAUGUGCUUGUGGAAGUCAGAGGGAUCUUUACUUCCAGGACAGGCUCUUCUGGGGAUCAAACUUGCUCAUCUGGCCCUCCUAUCCUACCUAGUGGUUUUUAACCUCCUAAACCAUCUUGCUGUCCCCCACAUUCCUUUUCUUAUUAAUUUUCUUUGUUACUGUACAAAGGAAUGGUUUCAUUGGGAUGACUUCAUUAUAUGAAAGUAUUUCACUAUUAUUUGUUCAUUUAACUUUUUAAAGCUUUUAUUGUGCGUUUAUGUUUUCCCUGCAUGUAUGUCUAUACACCACAUGAAUGCUGUGGAGGCCAGAAGAGGAUAUCAGAUUCCCUGGGACUGGAACUGCAGAAAGUUGUGAGCUAUCAUGUGGGUGCUGGGAAUCAAAUCCAGGUCCUCUGAGCUGUCUCAGCCCCCCUCUUCUAUUUUCCAUAUGUUCCAAUAUUCUCUUAUUCUCUCCUCUCUGCUCCCUUCAGACCUCUUACCUCAUGUCUCUCUCUCUCUCUCUCUCUCUCUCUCUCUCUCUCUCUCUCUCUCUCUCUCUCUCCCCCCUCUCUCUCUCUCUCUCACACACAAACAAACAAAAUGUAUCAAAAGUUGGAUAUCAUCUUUACUCAAGGGCCAGUGUAAGUUUCUGUAUCAUUACAAUUCCCCUCAAAGUGAGCAUUACAAGUGAACAUUAUUCCCCACCCUUUCCCUCCCUCUCCCUCCGUGUCUCUCAGACAGUCUCAUGUAGCCUCAGCUGGCCUCAAUCUCUCUAUGUAGUUAAGAAUGACAUUGAACUUGCCUCCACCUCUGAGGGCUAACAUUUCAGGAUGUGCCACCAGGCCUGGCUUCACUGAAUUCGCUGGAUUGGAGCAUCAUCCUGUCCUUGGGUAAUCCUGUCUAGGCUUCUGAUUUACUGUGAUAAGCAAUGAGCAGUGUCCCUUUCCUUUGACUUCAAUCUGACCCAUAUUUGUCAUUGUCAGGGCACAGCGACAGCCGGGUUUUCACCCUCAAACACCAAACAAAAACAGGAGAUACAGUCGCAGAUCCUGAGAUGCCCAAAUCAGGCAAUGGAGAAGAGCCCUGCAUACCUGGGACCCCCCAAGCCAGCCUCUCCAUGACAGACAGGCUGAGGGGUGUGUUCACUAAUCUGGCUCCUAUGAGUGGUGUGGUUUAAGUCCUACUUUGUCCACUGCAAAGAUUUGGGUUGUAUAAUUGUGGGGGGGGGCGGUAUCUGCAUGAGUGUAUGUUCUCUCAUUCUGCUGCCCCUCUAGGAAAGCAACAAAGAACUUCCUAAGGACAUUGGGUUCUACUCCUUUAGAUGAUCUCCUGGUAGCUGGCCCCAGGGCUCAGAAUCCUCAGAGAAUUGGGACAGAGGUGAGAAAGAGGCCCAGGUAGUAUCCUCUGCUGAAACCACUGGCUCAGGAAAAUAGAUGGGGUUUGACCUGUGAGAGCAUAAAUAAGGUAUAGUCCAAAGGAGACGGGGCUAGAGCUAUACGGCCUCCAUGGGUCUGAUCUCUCUUCACCAGAGAUGAAGGAAUUGGGCAUGGUGGUGCAAAAUCCUGUGGGCUCUGGGAAGGUGAAAGUAAGAGGAACAGGAGUUUUAUUUAUGUUAAGUAACAUAAAUAAAGCUGAUUUUUAUAAA